Molecule: non-coding RNA, 432 nt
Organism: Sturnus vulgaris (Common starling)
Lineage: Eukaryota; Metazoa; Chordata; Aves; Passeriformes; Sturnidae
Source: RefSeq, a predicted model, not a curated record
GAGGGCCUGGCAGUGGGAGUUGGAUUCGGGGCCAUUGGAAAAUCCGAGUCUGCCACAUUCCAAAGUGCCAGGAAUUUAGCCAUUGGGAUUGGGAUCCAGAACUUCCCAGAGGGGCUGGCUGUCAGCCUGCCCCUGCGUGGUGCUGGAUUCUCCACGUGGAAAGCUUUCUGGUAUGGGCAGCUGAGUGGGAUGGUGGAACCCCUGGCUGGUGUUUUGGGAGCCUUUGCCGUGGUGCUGGUGGAGCCUGUGCUGCCCUACGCCCUGGGCUUUGCUGCUGGAGCCAUGGUGUACGUGGUGAUGGACGACAUCAUCCCCGAGGCACAGAGCAGUGGCCAUGGCAGGCUGGCAUCCUGGAGCUGCGUGCUGGGCUUCGUGGUCAUGAUGUCCCUGGACGUGGGGCUGGGCUAGGACAGAGCUGCCAUCCCAGCAGGA